Molecule: ribosomal RNA, 253 nt
Filed under: uncultured bacterium
Lineage: Bacteria
Description: partial 16S ribosomal RNA
Rfam family: Bacterial small subunit ribosomal RNA
Source: RNAcentral
UACGUAGGGUGCAGGCGUUAAUCGGAAUUACUGGGCGUAAAGCGUGCGCAGGCGGUCUUUUAAGUCAGAUGUGAAAUCCCCGGGCUUAACCUGGGAACUGCGUUUGAAACUGGGAGGCUUGAGUGUGGCAGAGGGGGGUGGAAUUCCACGUGUAGCAGUGAAAUGCGUAGAGAUGUGGAGGAACACCGAUGGCGAAGGCAGCCCCCUGGGCUAACACUGACGCUCAUGCACGAAAGCGUGGGGAGCAAACAGG